Molecule: ribosomal RNA, 484 nt
Filed under: uncultured bacterium
Lineage: Bacteria
Description: partial 16S ribosomal RNA
Rfam family: Bacterial small subunit ribosomal RNA
Source: RNAcentral
AUUGAACGCUGGCGGCAGGCCUAACACAUGCAAGUCGAGCGGUAGAGAGAAGCUUGCUUCUCUUGAGAGCGGCGGACGGGUGAGUAAUGCCUAGGAAUCUGCCUGGUAGUGGGGGAGAACGUUCGGAAACGGACGCUAAUACCGCAUACGUCCUACGGGAGAAAGCAGGGGACCUUCGGGCCUUGCGCUAUCAGAUGAGCCUAGGUCGGAUUAGCUAGUUGGUGGGGUAAUGGCUCACCAAGGCGACGAUCCGUAACUGGUCUGAGAGGAUGAUCAGUCACACUGGAACUUAGACACGGUCCAGACUCCUACGGGAGGCAGCAGUGGGGAAUAUUGGACAAUGGGCGAGAGCCUGAUCCAGCCAUGCCGCGUGUGUGAAGAAGGUCUUCGGAUUGUAAAGCACUUUAAGUUGGGAGGAAGGGCAGUAAAUUAAUACUUUGCUGUUUUGACGUUACCGACAGAAUAAGCACCGGCUAACUCUGUG